RNAcentral lists this transfer RNA (72 nucleotides) under Metschnikowia agaves. Its description in RNAcentral is "tRNA-Met". It matches the Rfam family "tRNA". Rfam says of the family: Transfer RNA (tRNA) molecules are approximately 80 nucleotides in length. Their secondary structure includes four short double-helical elements and three loops (D, anti-codon, and T loops). The record is from RNAcentral. Lineage: Eukaryota; Fungi; Ascomycota; Pichiomycetes; Serinales; Metschnikowiaceae.
AACAGUAUAAUGUAAUAGGUAACAUAUUAAGCUCAUGACUUAAUAAUGAUAGUUCAAAUCUGUCUACUGUAU